RNAcentral lists this ribosomal RNA (468 nucleotides) under Mycosphaerellaceae sp. EXP0268F. RNAcentral's name for it is "eukaryotic LSU rRNA". The stretch from base 158 to 311 matches the Rfam family "5.8S ribosomal RNA". Lineage: Eukaryota; Fungi; Ascomycota; Dothideomycetes; Mycosphaerellales; Mycosphaerellaceae. The record is from RNAcentral.
GGAUCAUUACUGAGUGAGGGCUCACGCCCGACCUCCAACCCUUUGUGAACACAUCUUGUUGCUUCGGGGGCGACCCUGCCGGCACUUCGUCGCCGGGCGCCCCCGAAGGUCUCCAAACACUGCAUCUUUGCGUCGGAGUUUAAAACAAAUUAAACAAAACUUUCAACAACGGAUCUCUUGGUUCUGGCAUCGAUGAAGAACGCAGCGAAAUGCGAUAAGUAAUGUGAAUUGCAGAAUUCAGUGAAUCAUCGAAUCUUUGAACGCACAUUGCGCCCUUUGGUAUUCCGAAGGGCAUGCCUGUUCGAGCGUCAUUUCACCACUCAAGCCUGGCUUGGUGUUGGGCGUCGCGGCUCCGCGCGCCUUAAAGUCUCCGGCUGAGCCAUUCGUCUCUAAGCGUUGUGGAUUUUCUAAUUCGCUUCGGAGUGCGGGUGGCCGCGGCCGUUAAAUCUUUAUUCAAAGGUUGACCUC